AGCUCCUCCUAGUCCACCAGCCGGCCUCUCAUUUGUCUCUGUCUGUCUCUCGUUCCCUUAUCUCUUCACGCUCGGCAACGGCGGCGGCGGACGUAUGCUGCUCGGCGCUCCCGCAAGCAACGUGGCGACCGGCGAGGGCCGACCUCCCGCCUCCCGGCUUCAGGAUUCAGCGCGAAUCGAAUGCCACAGAGGCACGACGGCGCUUAGCGAGUCGAAGCCCGGCGGAGCUGCGAUGCUCCUCGAGCGGGAGCCGAACGGAGCGGCGGCGCUCGGCGAGCCUGUAGCGGACCCUUCACGAGGGCGACGAGUUGGCUCCUCUCACACGAGUAAGUUUUCAUUGUUCGUUCCUUUGCCUUGACCUUGAUAACUACCUGGCGAAGACGAGUGAGGAUUGGGAGGAGAGGAAGCCAGGAAGGCAUGAUUCAAGGACGAGGACGCGAGACGGUGGAUGCGCUCCGAAAUGGACGGCGAUGCUUGGCGAUGGCGACGACGCCUCAACAGGAGACUUCGACCGAAUCAGGAGCGGCGAGAGACCGCGCCGUCGCUAGUUCUGCGCGGUCCGGUGAGGAUAGCGUGGCGGAUUCCGACGAGUACGACGCGCGGAGUCCUUGCGCCGGCGGCACGGCGGAAGAGCAAGCAAAAAGUGAAACUGCUUUCGAAAAUGGGGGAGGAACGAGACAAAGAGCAACGGCAAAAAUAAUUAAUGCAGGUGCGGCCGGUCGGGGGUAUAGAUGGUUAAACAGGCGGCCCGGCCCACGAGCCUGAUUAGGCCCGGCCUGUUUAGGCCCGCACCGUAAUCGUGCUAGGCCGAGCCAGCCCACGUGUCGAAGGAGCAGCCAGGCCCAGCAUGCUGCCUUCUUAGGCAAGCCGUGCUGGCCCGCUAGCCCGGUAGGCCUUAAUAGGCU
This 905-nucleotide long non-coding RNA is filed under the name Setaria viridis. Its description in RNAcentral is "long non-coding RNA (SVIR_LNC003158)". Lineage: Eukaryota; Viridiplantae; Streptophyta; Magnoliopsida; Poales; Poaceae. The record is from RNAcentral.